GUCUAGCUGACGAGUCCCAAAUAGGAUGAAACAUACGUUUUGAAU
This 45-nucleotide non-coding RNA is filed under the name Schistosoma mattheei. Lineage: Eukaryota; Metazoa; Platyhelminthes; Trematoda; Strigeidida; Schistosomatidae. The record is from RNAcentral.